RNAcentral lists this ribosomal RNA (472 nucleotides) under Vibrio fluvialis. RNAcentral describes it as "bacterial SSU rRNA". It matches the Rfam family "Bacterial small subunit ribosomal RNA", at positions 374 to 838 of the family's 1533-position model. The record is from RNAcentral. Lineage: Bacteria; Pseudomonadati; Pseudomonadota; Gammaproteobacteria; Vibrionales; Vibrionaceae.
GGCGCAACCCUGAUGCAGCCAUGCCGCGUGUAUGAAGAAGGCCUUCGGGUUGUAAAGUACUUGCAGCAGUGAGGAAGGGGGUAUCGUUAAUAGCGGUAUCUUUUGACGUUAGCUGCAGAAGAAGCACCGGCUAACUCCGUGCCAGCAGCCGCGGUAAUACGGAGGGUGCGAGCGUUAAUCGGAAUUACUGGGCGUAAAGCGCAUGCAGGUGGUUUGUUAAGUCAGAUGUGAAAGCCCGGGGCUCAACCUCGGAAUUGCAUUUGAAACUGGCAGGCUAGAGUACUGUAGAGGGGGGUAGAAUUUCAGGUGUAGCGGUGAAAUGCGUAGAGAUCUGAAGGAAUACCGGUGGCGAAGGCGGCCCCCUGGACAGAUACUGACACUCAGAUGCGAAAGCGUGGGGAGCAAACAGGAUUAGAUACCCUGGUAGUCCACGCCGUAAACGAUGUCUACUUGGAGGUUGUGGCCUUGAGCC